AUUGAACGCUGGCGGCAGGCCUAACACAUGCAAGUCGAGCGGAUGAAGGGAGUUUGCUCCUGGAUUCACCGGCGGACGGGUGAGUAAUGCCUAGGAAUCUGCCUGGUAGUGGGGGAUAACGUCCGGAAACGGGCGCUAAUCCCGCAUACGUCCUGAGGGAGAAAGUGGGGGAUCUUCGGACCUCACGCUAUCAGAUGAGCCUAGGUCGGAUUAGCUAGUUGGUGGGGUAAAGGCCUACCAAGGCGACGAUCCGUAACUGGUCUGAGAGGAUGAUCAGUCACACUGGAACUGAGACACGGUCCAGACUCCUACGGGAGGCAGCAGUGGGGAAUAUUGGACAAUGGGCGAAAGCCUGAUCCAGCCAUGCCGCGUGUGUGAAGAAGGUCUUCGGAUUGUAAAGCACUUUAAGUUGGGAGGAAGGGCAGUAAGUUAAUACCUUGCUGUUUUGACGUUACCAACAGAAUAAGCACCGGCUAACUUCGUG
This 484-nucleotide ribosomal RNA is filed under the name uncultured bacterium. RNAcentral's name for it is "partial 16S ribosomal RNA". It matches the Rfam family "Bacterial small subunit ribosomal RNA", at positions 30 to 507 of the family's 1533-position model. The record is from RNAcentral.